CGUAGGGGGCAAGCGUUGUCCGGAAUUACUGGGCGUAAAGCGCGUGUAGGCGGGACGGCAAGUCGGACGUGAAAGGCGCGGGCUCAACCCGCGAAGGCCGUUCGAAACGGUCGUUCUUGAGGGUCGAAGAGGAGAGUGGAAUUCCUGGUGUAGCGGUGAAAUGCGUAGAGAUCAGGAGGAACACCCAUGGCGAAGGCAGCUCUCUGGUCGACCUCUGACGCUGAGACGCGAAAGCGUGGGGAGCGAACGGGAUUAGAUACCCCGGUAGUCCACGCCGUAAACGAUGGUCACUAGGUGUAUGCGGUAUCGACCCCGCAUGUGCCGCAGCUAACGCAAUAAGUGACCCGCCUGGGGAGUACGGCCGCAAGGUUG
This 372-nucleotide ribosomal RNA is filed under the name uncultured organism. Its description in RNAcentral is "bacterial SSU rRNA". It matches the Rfam family "Bacterial small subunit ribosomal RNA", at positions 526 to 896 of the family's 1533-position model. The record is from RNAcentral.